UGAGGAACAUGACCUUCGGCGGGGGAUAGCCGGCCCAACGGCCGGGUAAUACCGCGUACGACCACAUGGGGACAUCCCUGAGUGGUGAAAGCAGCAAUGCGCCGAUGGAGUGCCUCGCGGCCUAUCAGCUAGUUGGUGAGGUAACGGCUCACCAAGGCGACGACGGGUAGCUGGUCUGAGAGGAUGGCCAGCCCACUAGUUGGGACUGAGACACCGGCCCAGACCUGACGGGAG
This 234-nucleotide ribosomal RNA is filed under the name uncultured bacterium. Its description in RNAcentral is "partial 16S ribosomal RNA". It matches the Rfam family "Bacterial small subunit ribosomal RNA", at positions 118 to 347 of the family's 1533-position model. The record is from RNAcentral.